AUGUGUGUUAUGGCUUUACCUUUCUACCUUAACAACACUAUCAACAAGGCAGGUCCUAGUUUCUACCUUCUUAACAACACUAUCAACAAGGCAGGUCCUACUGGACCUAGUUUCUACCUUCUUAACAACACUAUCAACAAUGCAGGUCCUAGUUUCUACCUUCUUAACAGCACUAUCAGCAAGGCAGGUCCUACAGGUCCUAGUUUCUACCUUAACAACACUAUCAACAAGGCAGGUCCUAGUUUCUACCUUCUUAACAGCACUAUUAGCAAGGCAGGUCCUACAGGCCCUAGAUUCUACCUUCUUAACAGCACUAUCAACAAGGCAGGUCCUACAGGCCCUAGUUUCUACCUUCUUAACAACACUAUCAACAAGGCAGGUCCUACAGGCUCUAGUUUCUACCUUCUUAACAGCACUAUCAACAAGGCAGGUCCUACAGGCCCUAGUUUCUACCUUCUUAACAACACUAUCAACAAGGCAGGUCCUACAGGCCCUAGUUUCUACCUUCUUAACAACACUAUCAGCAAGGCAGGUCCUACAGGUCCUAGUUUCUACCUUCUUAACAACACUAUCAACAAGGCAGGUCCUAGUUUCUACCUUAACAGCACUAUCAGCAAGGCAGGUCCUACAGGUCCUAGUUUCUACCUUCUUAACAACACUAUCAACAAGGCAGGUCCUACAGGCCCUAGUUUCUACCUUCUUAACAGCACUAUCAACAAGGCAGGUCCUACAGGUCCUAGUUUCUACCUUCUUAACAGCACUAUCAGCAAGGCAGGUCCUACAGGCCCUAGUUUCUACCUUCUUAACAACACUAUCAACAAGGCAGGUCCUAAAGGCCCUAGUUUCUACCUUCUUAACAGCACUAUCAACAAGGCAGGUCCUACAGGUCCUAGUUUCUACCUUCUUAACAGCACUAUCAGCAAGGCAGGUCCUACAGGCCCUAGUUUCUACCUUCUUAACAACACUAUCAACAAGGCAGGUCCUAAAGGCCCUAGUUUCUACCUUCUUAACAGCACUAUCAACAAGGCAGGUCCUACAGGUCCUAGUUUCUACCUUCUUAACAGCACUAUCAGCAAGGCAGGUCCUACAGGCCCUAGUUUCUACCUUCUUAACAACACUAUCAACAAGGCAGGCCCUCGUUUUUACCUUCUUAACAGCACUAUCAACAAGGCAGGUCCUACAGGUCCUAGUUUCUACCUUCUUAACAGCACUAUCAGCAAGGCAGGUCCUACAGGUCCUAGUUUCUACCUUCUUAACAGCACUAUCAGCAAGGCAGGUCCUACAGGCCCUAGUUUCUACCUUCUUAACAACACUAUCAACAAGGCAGGCCCUAGUUUUUACCUUCUUAACAGCACUAUCAACAAGGCAGGUCCUACAGGCCCUAGUUUCUACCUUCUUAAAAGCUCUAUCAACAAGGCAGGUCAUACAGGCCCUAGUUUCUACCUUCUUAACAGCACUAUCAGCAAGGCAGGUCCUACAGGUCCUAGUUUCUACCUUCUUAACACUAUCAACGAGGCAGGUCCUACAGGCCCUAGUUUCUACCUUCUUAACAGCACUAUCAACAAGGCAGGUCCUACAGGUCCUAGUUUCUACCUUUGUAACAACACUAUCAACAAGACAGGUCCUACAGGCCCUAGUUUUGUUGCACCUGGACUACUGUUCAGUCGUGUGGUCAGGUGCCACAAAGAGGGACUUAGGAAAAUUGAGACCACACUAAAUAGCCUAUAG
Oncorhynchus kisutch (coho salmon) is the source of this 1728-nucleotide long non-coding RNA. The record is from Ensembl. Lineage: Eukaryota; Metazoa; Chordata; Actinopteri; Salmoniformes; Salmonidae.